Molecule: long non-coding RNA, 924 nt
Organism: Passer domesticus (house sparrow)
Lineage: Eukaryota; Metazoa; Chordata; Aves; Passeriformes; Passeridae
Exons: 3
Source: RefSeq, a predicted model, not a curated record
GGUGCCAAGGCUGCUUUUCCCUUCUCUACCUACCCACAGCACCUAAAGCACCAAUCUUCUCCCGCCCCGUCCUUUAUUCAUCUCUACACCGCAACAUCUUGGAUGACACAGCAAGAUGUGUCCUGCAGCAUCCUGGUCAAGCUGUAGGUCACCCAGAAUCAUGAGCACAUCACCUUUGGGUGAUGGCAUUGUCAGCUGAGCCCUCAGCACAAUAUCAGUUCUGAGGUACAGCCAGUUCAGUGGGGGUGGCAAAAAUAGUUGCCCCCUUCUUUCUGGUCCAAGAGAGAUGUAGGAAACCCCAAGAGCAGGCUCCAGAGCUGUUGGAAGGCAAGAGGGAGUCUAAGCAAAGCCACAACAGGGAUUUCUUAUUUAUAGCAUCAUGGUGUUCACCUAUGACAUCCCUGGCUCUGUCCCAUUAAAGACACCCUGGUAUCUUUAUGAGCUGGGGCCACAGUGAGUGCUCCAUUCGUGUCUCUGCAAAUAUUCCCUCACCCAACCUUAUCCUGGCCCGGGAACAACUCAGAAGCACACCAGGACUCAAGAGGAAUUCGUCGUGUCCAGAACAGAAUUCCUGGAAAGCAGCACUGUGAGAAGCUUCAUGCAAAGUACUGCAAGAAAACAGCCCCCAGCCAGGAGGAGUGGAUCUGGGAGUCUGCAGAAAAUGAGACACAGGGUCUGCACAGACACUGGCUGAACCUGAAGACAGGAGGGAUAAAAUACAGAAUCAGAGCUUCAAAAAACUUUGGGAAGAGUGUGGUGCUGCUGUGCAAAAGCCAAAUGAAACAUGAAUAAAAGUUAAGAGAAAGAUGUGCUAAAAGGCCUGAUGGUUCGGUGACACCAGAUUUCAGAAGAAACAGGAGUAACUUACACAGAUGCCAGGAAGCACUGAUGUCUACAGACUUCCCCAAAGAGAGAACUAAGCCA